UGGAGUGAAAGGGACCCGCACGCUCGGCAGGGGACCCCAGUGCCCCAUCUGCGUUGCAGCUGCCUCCUGUGCUCCUUGCAGGUGUCGUCAGCUUCCACCGACAGCCAGCUCUGGACCCCGCUGCCCCGCCGCCUGCCUUCGCUGGCCGUCACCUAAAACGAGCCUCUGAUCUCAGGUGGGCUGGGAUGUGGCGCCUCCACAGAAGAUGUCACUGUCUGAGAAACGGAAGACUCCUGUCUGAACACUUCCUAAAUUGAAGGCUUUAGAUUCUUCUUUAGAUUCUGCAAAAUGUGAAUACAGUUUGGUUAGUUUGAAUUCUACAUAUAAUUUGCUUAAUCAAAGGGAAUGUAUUAAGAGUUCAGGUAGAGUGAAACCUCGCUGUAAACUCUCUUGCUUUAAUAAUGCUGAUUAUAAAAACUCUUUUUAAAAAAAAUGUUUAUUUACUUAUUUUUUUGAGAGAGAGAGAGCAUGAGCAGGGUGGGUGCAGAGAGAGAGGGGAACAGAGGAUCUGAAGUGGGCUGUAUACUGACAACAGCGAGCCUGAUGCAGGGCUCGAACUCAUGAACUGUGAGAUCAUGACCUGAACUGAAGUCAGAGGCUCAACUGACUGAGCCACCCAGUUGCCCCCGAUUAUAAGAACUCUUAACUGCUAUUGAGCGUUUACUGUGUUCAAGAUGCUGUGGUACCUGCUUUACAACAUACGUUAAACCAUUUGGCUCUCGUAGCGGCACAAGCGCCUUUAUUAUUCCCAUUUUACAGAUGAGAGAACUGAGGUACAGAGAGGACAAAUAAUUUAUUCAAGGUUACACAGCUUGUAAGUGGUGUCUGUACCACACAUUCAAGUAUUUCUUGUUGAACAAUUUUCCUCUUGCUCAGAGUAAUACCUAUUAUAUCUUUUUUGGCUAUGUUAGAGAAAUACUAUAAAAAUUAUUCUUGUCUUCAAAUGCCAUCCACAUAAAAAUGUUCUAUAUUUUAGAGCUCUACUUAUGUUAGCA
Molecule: long non-coding RNA, 995 nt
Filed under: Felis catus (domestic cat)
Lineage: Eukaryota; Metazoa; Chordata; Mammalia; Carnivora; Felidae
Description: lncRNA (ENSFCAG00000051069.1)
Source: RNAcentral